RNAcentral lists this ribosomal RNA (200 nucleotides) under uncultured bacterium. Its description in RNAcentral is "partial 16S ribosomal RNA". It matches the Rfam family "Bacterial small subunit ribosomal RNA", at positions 8 to 207 of the family's 1533-position model. The record is from RNAcentral.
AGAGUUUGAUCCUGGCUCAGGAUAAACGCUGGCGGCGUGCCUAACACAUGCAAGUCGGACGUCCUUUCUUCUUUUGGGAAGAGAGGGAGUGGCGGACGGGUGAGUAACACAUGGGUACCUGCCUUCAAGUGAGGAAUACCCUCGGGAAACCGGGGACAAGACCGCAUAGGCUCUGUGCUGCAAGAGGCAGAGAGCAAAGC